GGGCACGCCCGCACGGCCGCACCGCACCACCAAGCGAACCCAUUGGCUGUCUCUCUCACGGCUCACUUCACUGUUCACUCGGCGGCACCGCACUGCGCCAGUGCCCCGUCGCCGAUCAAAGCAACCGCCUCCAACGCGGCAACGGCAACGGCAACGGCAAGCGCCGUCAGUCACUCCCGUAGUAGCCGCCCCGCAGUGAGUGUGUGAGCGAGUGAGAUGAUCAGCGGAGGGGCCGCGGCCGCCGGGAACCCGAGGAGUAGGAGGACGCGAUGAAGGCGCAGCCGCUGCUACUGCCGGCGCUCAAGAGGCGGAGAGGCCCUCGCGUGGCGGUGCUGGCGCUCGUCCUCUGCUCCCUGCUCGUGCCCUUGGCCUUCCUCUUCGACCGCGCCCCCUCCGGAUACGUGACGACGGAGGAGCGGCACCGACAGGAGGUCGUUCUGCCUUUGUUGGAUCACGUGGCGGAGAAGAGACGUCCGAGUGGUAGUGGCGCUGACACGCGACAGGAUGCGCUGGAGAAGAAGGUCCCCGGUAGUAGUGCAGGAGUCAUUCAUCAACAAACACCGGAUAAGAACAUCUCCAAAGUCAUUCGUCAACAAACACCGGAGAAGACCAUCUCCAAAGGCAGUGCAGGUGUCGUUCAUCAGUAUAAGCAAAUUGGUAGCCACUCCACAAGUGAUGGUGCUAAACCAAAAGUUUCCCCAGCACCAAAAGUUGAACCAUCAGAUGCUGUUUCAGAUUCAACUAAAGUCGCAAGAGAUACUAGCCAAGAAGGUGAAAAGGCUGAUGAAGUGGAAAAGUCAAAGUCUUGUCAACUUGAAUUUGGGAGUUAUUGUCUCUGGUCCAUUGAGCACAAAGAAGUAAUGAAAGAUUAUACAGUGAAAAGGCUAAAAGAUCAACUCUUCGUAGCACGCUCAUACUAUCCAAGCAUUGCAAAACUUCAAGGACAGGAAGCUCUGACUCAGGAAAUGAAGCAAAACAUACAAGACCAUGAGAAGAUUCUUAGUGUAUCAACAGUUGAUGCUGAUCUACCAUCCUCUAUCAACAGAAGGAUGAAGCAGAUGGAGCAAACAAUAGUGAGAGCCAAAUCUUGCACAGUAGAUUGUAGAAGUGUUGACAGGAAGCUUCGCCAGAUUCUUUAUAUGACUGAGGAUGAAGCUCAUUUUCAUAUGCAGCAGAGUGCAUUCCUCUACAAUCUCGGUGCCCAGACAUUGCCGAAAAGUCAUCAUUGCCUUUCUAUGAGGUUGACACUAGAAUAUUUCAAAUCAUCUUCAUUGGAUUCUGAUGAUUCUCCUGGCAGGUUCAGUAGUCCAGAAUACAGGCACUUCGUUAUACUAUCAAGGAACGUUCUUGCGGCUUCUGUAGCAAUCAACUCAACUGUGAGCAGUUGUAAGGAGCCAGGCUACUUUGCUUUUCAUAUCCUAACUGACGCUCAGAACUUCUAUGCCAUGAAACACUGGUUUGCCAGGAAUUCGUAUAAAAAUGCAGCUAUCCGUGUCAUAAACUACGAAGCAAUUAUUUUGGAGAAACUUCCAAAGUAUACUAUCCGGCAGCUGUUUUUGCCAGAGGAGUUCCGUGUUCUCAUUAGGAGCAUUAAGCGGCCUACUGAAAACACAAGAAUGAAAUACCUGUCACUGUUCAGCCACUCACAUUUCGUUAUUCCAGAAAUAUUCAAGUAUCUAAACAAGGUGGUCGUGUUGGAUGACGAUGUAGUUGUUCAACGUGAUCUGUCUUUCUUGUGGAAUAUUGAUAUGGGAGACAAGGUAAAUGGCGCUGUCGAACUUUGUGGUCUGAAACUGGGUGAGAUGAAAAAUGUCUUGGGUAAAACAGCAUAUGAUCCAAAGUCGUGUGCGUGGAUGUCGGGGGUGAAUUUGAUUAAUCUGGAUAAAUGGAGGGAGCAUAAUGUCACAGAGAACUAUCUGCGGCUCAUGAAAAAGUUCGAAGUCAAGGAUGAGCUGUCCCUGCGAGCAGCAGCAUUUCCUCUAAGCUUGCUAUCCUUCCAACAUCUAAUAUACCCCCUAGAUGAAAAAUUGACGCUGGCUGGACUUGGAUAUGAUUACGGAAUCGAUGAAGAGGUUGCGCGGAGAUCUGCAUCAUUGCACUACAAUGGCAACAUGAAACCUUGGCUUGAAUUAGGUAUACCGGAGUACAAGAAGUACUGGAAGAGGUUUCUUGUCCGAGGAGAUCGAUUUAUGGACGAGUGCAACGUAAAUCCGUGACGUAGAGUUGGACCCGAAACGAGAACGAUUGCGUGAAUCUGUGACGCAGAGUUGGAUCUGAAAUCAGAACAACUGGAAUAGACAUCAGCUAGCCUCACUGAAGUUUGUGUCGGCAAAUUGUGAACGAGAAUGAAUUCUGGUGGUGGAGCUAGGAUUUUUUUGAGUGGAGAUUCCAAACAUGAAAGUAGUAAACACUAAUAUAUAUACGGUAGUAUAAAUUUGAGUAAAUGAUGGGGACUACGUGAUCCAUCCACCACCCUCUGGAGUCUCGCCCUUUCUAACAAAUAUUUCAAAUCAGUCGACUUCGGCCUGUUUGUUUACCCUCUACCAUCAAAAUUAUAUAAUCUAGUUUAAAUAAAUUAAGACGUAAACAAAUAACACAUAUCGUUAGGUGGAUUAUAUAAUCUAGAUAUUUAGAUUAUGAUAAUAUAUAAGUAGGUCAAACCCUUAUAUAUGGGUGUUUGUUUAGGAUUAUAAUCUGAUCAGAUUAUAUAAUCUAACAAAUUUUAAACUAACACCUAUGAUUGUUUGUUUAAGAUUAUAAUCUGUCCAGAUUAUAUAAUUUAACUUAUUUUGAACUAACAUUUAGGCUAUAAUCUAGCUUAUGGAUUAUAUGAACACAUAUUGGUCUGCUUAUGGAUUAUCAUAAUCUAGGUAUCUAGAUUACAUAAUCCAUUUUAUUGUUUGUUUGCCUCUCAACUUAUCUAAGCUAGAUUAUAUAAUCUAGACAAAUAAGAUCUUAGUUAAAAAUAAGUUAGAUUAUAUAAUCUAAACAGAUUAUAAUCUUAAAUAAAUUAAACACCCUCAUUAGUUUAAAAUUUGUUGGAUUAUAUAAUUUAGAUAAAUUAUAAUCUCAAACAAACGCCUCCAUACUCUUGGUAGGAAGGCAUUCCUCUUACGGAAUCUGCAUAAUUCGUUUCAACGCUAGCAUAUAUUCUUUCUGGCUCGAAAUGGUAAAUACGUUAGCUAUAAAUUUAGAGAAAAGAAGAGUAGCUAAGUGGGUGUUUGGUUUAUAGAGACUAAACAUUAGUCCCUCCACUUUAUUCCAUUUUAGUUCAUAAAUUGUUAAAUAAGGAAACUAAAAUAGAGUUUUAGUUUCUAUAUUUAGUAAAUUAGGGACUAAAAUGGAAUAAAAUUGAGAGACUAAAAAUUAGUCCCUAGAAACCAAACACCCCCUAAAGCGUUAGCUAGUUAAAAUAGAGGGUAGUCAACAACAGAAAAAAUUAUAUAUUCGCAUCCAUGCUUUUAUAUCGGAUACAAGAAUAGAACAUGAUAGAUGUGAUGCGAAGAUCUAGACAGAUGGGGAGGAGCUAAUACUACGUGACGGCUAAGAUUGACGCAUAGCACAACGGCCGGCCGACGCGCCCUUUGAUAUAUAUGGCUGUUUGUUUUUGGAAGCGAGUACGACCGACGAGGUGGUGAUGCAGGUACAUUGAUUAUUCAUGCAUUGUCAUCUUGUCAUGUCCUAUUCAUUCACUUUUUGGUUAUAGAAAUUCCAAAAAAAAAAGUCAUCAAGCACACUGAACGACUGCAUAAUAUUUACUAAACUGUAAUUCUGCAUACAAGUACUAUUUUUGGCAAUAGAAAACCCAAAUAAUGUCAACAAGAACACACUGCAAGAAUGGUUAUAUUAUUCACAAACGGAAGGAAAAUAUCCAUUUGGCUUUUGAGCUUUCAGAAUAGGCAAAACUUAACUGAAUAGGCACAAGCACAACACGCGCAAAAACAAACUCACUCCUUUGCAAACUAGUAAGAUGCACUACUGGAAAAGCAUACGUAAGAUACACCAAACCAUCGAGAAGAAACUAAGCUUGCAUGGCAAUGGUGGUUGGCGCUAUGACUUGGAGCUGAGCUGAUGCCAUCAAGAGGCCUAUGGUCUAUGGAGCCAAACGAUUGCUGACAGAGCGUGUUGUGCAGCCAAACUAUUUGCGCGUACGACGUCCUAGCCCUAGCUAGUUGACUGGACAGACGGUAUGCUCUGGACUUGGAGAGGACUCAUUGCUCUCAUCAUAUCAUGCAUGCCCCAAUAUAAUGGUCACAUGGUGGUUGUUAGGAACCUUCAUCGAUCACAUGCCAAAACAAUUAAUAAGAGAUUAGGUUUCAGGAAGCUCUCCAAUAUGAGAUUCCUCCUCCUCGCCAACCCAGUCGAAGAAUCAACAGUUUGUUCUCUUCUCUAGCGCUAGCUCAUGGAUGGAUGAUCAGUUGCCGAGUAGUGGUGGUGGUGCAUGAUUGAGACGCGCCGGCCGUCUGCCUAUAUAUUCCUUUCUUUCCUUCGUCUCCCGCGUCUCAGUCUACCUCCAGCGCUCCAUCACCAUAUGACAACAAAGGAUUCCACCUUGAUCCUUGAAGUGGACCUCCAGUGCGAGAAAUGUUACAAGAAGAUCCAGAAAGUUCUCUGCAAGCUCCAGUCCAAGGAGAAGAUCAACAAGAUCGACUACGAGAACACCAAGAACAAGGUCACCGUCGUCGGCGCCUUCGACCCCAAGAAGCUUUCCAAGACGCUGAGAUGCAAGGCCUGUGAUGUCAUCAGGGACAUCACCAUCGUCAAGCCUCCCGAGGUGAAGAAACCGGCCGCGGAGGAGAAGAAGAAGCCGGAGGAAGAGGAGAAGAAGAAGAAGCCGGAGGAAGAGGAGAAGAAGAAGCCCGCAGAGGAGAAGAACAAGGGCGGCGAGGAGAAGGCCGCCAAGCCAGCGGCGGCGGCGCCACCGUCGACGACGGUGAACCUGCAGUUCACCAACAUAUGCGGGAUCUGCUACCCGUGGCCGUGCAGCGACCCGGCGCACCGGGGCGGUUUCCACCACCCGCAGCAGCUGCCGCAGCCGUGGCUGCCGUGCGGAGGGAUGGCUCCAGCUCCAGCUCCCGCGCCUGCACCGCCGGUUCACACCCACCCGCAACCGCCCUGCGGCGGUGCCCCUCAGAAAUGGGCGCCGUGCGGCGGCCCUCCGCUGUGCGGAGGCUGCGCGUGGUGCCUCGGCGGCGGCAUCGGCUGCUGGUCGCCGCCGCCGCAGCAGCCGAUGUGCUGCCCCGGGCCGUCGCUGUGCAGAGGGUGCAACGGGUGCAAGAUCGUGCGCGAGACCAAGUUCAGCUACGAGGAGUACCCUUCCAGUGCAUGUGCCAUCAUGUGAUCUUUGCUCCUACUUGUGUUCUUCGAUUGCUCAGUCCUGAAUUCUGGUCAAACGAGUAGCGGUCUCAAAGAAACAUUGUUUUUCCUGCAAAGAAAAAAAAAGCUCCUUUUCUGCUGUGGCAAUUUUGAUUCUUUUCAAAUCUCCGUGACUCCAGAUAUGUUUAAUUAUGUAUUAUUGUCCACCAACAAUACAUGUAUCUGUUCACGA
This is an RNA transcript of Zea mays, 5548 nucleotides long. RefSeq lists it as uncharacterized. The record is from RefSeq and is a predicted model, not a curated record. NCBI's taxonomy places the organism in Eukaryota, Viridiplantae, Streptophyta, Magnoliopsida, Poales, Poaceae. The transcript has 11 exons.